Molecule: RNA transcript, 5872 nt
Organism: Drosophila simulans
Lineage: Eukaryota; Metazoa; Arthropoda; Insecta; Diptera; Drosophilidae
Exons: 2
Source: RefSeq, a predicted model, not a curated record
AUAUUGUGGGAGUCGAGCCGAAUGGCAACCUUCUAUGUGCUACCGCACUUAUCUGGUGACGAACCAUUUUAGGCAAAUUAAAAUCCUGGCCAAAAUGAAAGUUGCCCUAUAAAAAUACCACAAAAUUCCAGAGUAGGAUUAUAGCAAGCUACGGUCACACAUGAUUUGCAGACUUCCGUUCUCUUUUUGUGAAGGCGUGAUCGAGUGCAGUUCAAUAUUGUGCAAAAUCCAUAUUUAAAAAUCCACGAGCAUCGUGUGGUUCGGAUUAUAGUUUUUCAAGGCAAAUACUGCCGAGUGAUAGUUUACCUUUAACUGCGUCGCUGCCGGUCCCACGUUUGGAGAUAGGAGUUUUAGUGGCUGCGUCGCCAAGGCGGUUAGUAUUGUUUUUCGCUAAACUUUUGACCACGCGUGAAAUUUACUGUGGCUUCAUUGAUCGCAGAUAGAUUUACAACUGCUGGCAUCAGGAGCACCCACCGUGUGCAGUGGAAGGCUGGGCUUGACCUCUUCUGCUGCCGACAGAUCACAGGUCAACCCACCCCAGAGUUGGCGUUCUUUUUUUCUUCAUCGCCGCACGCAGGAAGCAGAUCGCCGUGCAUCCAUUUAAUGCACAAAUCAGCUUGGUGUCUUCUUCAACCCUGCGUUUUCCAAUAAUAUUUGGGCACAACACGAGCCCCAGGCUGGCCUUGUCGCUGCGUAUGCUGCGAACCCGAAGCAGCCGCAACACGAAUGAUCGUGUCCAGUAUUAAGUAUAUUUAGAAUAGUUUUUUUUAUAUUUGAGUUAAUUUUACAUAAGAAUAUUUACUUAUAAAUUUCUAUAAUUCUAAUUUAGCUUAACUUGUGGGAGAUCUGACAAGUUUAUAUAUGUGAUUCUCCUGAUUUAUAGUAAUAACUACAGCAAAUCAUCAAACGUCAUCAGGCCUGCUGACAUCGAUGGAAAGUGCGUGAGUACAGAACAAAAUAAUAAAACACACAAACAUAUAUAUAUAAAAGUCAGAUAUUCCUAAAUAGUAUUCUUAAAAUAUCCUGCCUUAAUUAAUCAUGAUUUAAAGAAGUUUAUAGUUUAAAUACUCAUUAAUCAUAAAUAAUUCUAAUGUAAAAUAAGUCGAAGGAACAAAAGAAUAAUGUAAGCUUAUAUACCAGUAUUUGAAUUUCUACCUUAAUUAUUUUUAUUUCAUUUUGUCGCUGAUAAUCAAAAUUAAUCAAUAAGAGAUUUUCUUAACAUAAAUAACGUAAAUUUUAGUUUAAGGCUUAGGUUUAGGAAAAUGUAUCUGAAUCUUAUAUUUAUCUUUAAUUAUAUGGGGUCCAAAAUGAAUUAAUUUGACUUCUUGUUGGGCACCAAAGGGUAUGUAGAGCAGUGGUUGUACUAGGGUGGAGUCCGAAUGGAUUCCACAGGUAGGGUGGGUAAUGAAUAAGGCCAAUAACAUCUGGGCCUCGUCUUCAAUAGGUACACCUUCUUGUCCGCUUCCUAACCGUUUGGUUAUCGUUUUUUGAAUCUACCGUAUCUCUGUCUACACUAUUGUAGCUGUAACACUCUUUGUUCAUCACAACACAAAACCCACGCCCAUUUUCCCUGAGCAUGCCGGUAAAAAUCGUAGACAGAGUGUGUUGGGGUGGACAACGCUCUAUGAGUGUGUUCGUUACAGUUAUAAUUGGCGCCCAAACGUGGGACAGCCCGAUGCCUGAUUAGGCACUUGUCGUUUGACAACCGAGCUUCCCGUUAAUAAACAAUCCAUCCACUUUUAGUUUCAGUUAGGUAUUUCAUAUUCCGUCCUGGAAUUUAUGGUCUCUGGAGAGUUCCGGAGCCAUACCGGAGGAAAUGUUAUGCUUUUAUGUGUUUUUUUUUCUAUCAGUUCAGUAAUAACCGAACAGUAUUGUUAAAAAAACAACAUUCUAAUUUGAGUAAUUGAUUCUUAGGAAUUAUAGUUCUGAUUUAAAGUCGGUUCUAUACCAGGAUUUCACUAUUCAAAAAUUACCUCCUUAUCAUUUAGGAUCGAGAUUUUUCUAGCUGGAUAGAUUCGGCUAGUUACUCUUCUAAGUGGUAAGAGUUCAUAAAUAAUAAAAGACAUUUAUUUUACAACUCUGUAUGCAUACCCCGUUAGCUUUUCGUACCUAUUGAAUUAUACAACCUACUGCUUUACUACUCAGGGUAAGACCCGCAGGUAUUAUUUUGUUCUCUUAACUGGUAUCUUUUUGUCGCCUAGCGUUGAUCGUUGGAUCUUAGCGCGUACUCAUUAUCUUUUUUUCGUUUAUCUUUGAUCGUUGGAUCUUAACGUUUUUGCCUACUAUUGAUCGUUUGAUCUUAUCGCUUAUCUUUCUUGUUUUAACGAGAGGAAUUGUUAGACUUUAAGUAUUAUUCUAGAAGCUUCGAAAAUGAUGAUGCGAAGUAAUGAAAAUUUAGUUGACGUAGAUACGGAUGCGUUGGUGACAUGCACCAUCUGCAACGGGCCAGUACGUAAUCUGGAUUUGGUUGAAACCCGUUGUAAACAUUCCUUUCACAAACAUUGCCUUGACAACUACCUUAAGAACCAUGACAAAUGCCCCAUAUGUGGCCAGCCAUGUUCUCAAUCCGAGUUAGGAUCUCAUUUGCCUUUGUCGACUAAAUCUCAAGGUAACAGAAUGAUGACCCGUUCAGGUUCUCGGAAUACAGCCAAACAACAUGAGAAGUCUGAUCCAAAUUCCCAACAGGAAAUUUGUAGCGAUAGUUCAGAUUCCAGAGUUGUGACAGAAGACCGUGUUCAGCAAAUAGUCCAAAGUUCAAUGCAGGCCUUUCAAGCAAGCAUGCUACAAUCAGUGACAGAACAAAUCACUAUGGCGUUCACUCAAUUGAAUAAAUCCACAUUUGUAAAUAAUGGACAGAGUGAGCUGCAGCAGGACAUACAAAAUAAUUUCGGUCGAGACGUUCCCGAAAUAAACUCAGAAAGAAAUAACAAUUCACAUGUUAGGACUUCACCAGACUUUCGUAGCGAUCGGAGUGAUCUUUCAUUGGAUAGACCUGAUAGGAUUUCCAAUAUUAUAUCAAAUUGGCGUAUUAAAUUCAGCGGUUCAGCCAACGACAUUGCCAUUGAGGAUUUUAUUUACCGCGUAAAUUGUCUCACUUCGCAAAGCCUGAACGGAAACUUCGAACUUCUUUCCCAUUUCGCUAAUUUACUGUUCGCAGGACCGGCCUUAGCAUUUUAUUGGCGUGUUCACAGAUCGCUGGAUAACAUGAAUUGGAACGUGUUAUGCAGGCGUUUAAAGGAAAGAUAUCAAGAUCAGAGAUCUGAUCGUGAAAUUAAAAUUGCUAUGCGUUGCCGCAAACAGGGUAGCACAGAAAAUUUUGAUGACUUUUUGGAUGCAAUGCUUUCCAUUGCAGAUUCCCUUCGUGAACCAAUGCAGGACAGUGAGAUUACUGUAGAAGUUCGUCAUAAUCUCAAACCGGAGAUCAAGCACGAAUUACUGCACGUAGACACCCCAAAUUUAGCAACAUUGCGCAAAGAAUGUCAUCGUCACGAAGAUUUCUUUCAAAGCACCCGGACAAAACCAAUCCAACGUCCGAACACAAGCAAGCGUUUUGUAACCGCAAUUCUGCAGAAAGAUGAUUCCGAAGAUCAGUCUGAGGAAGAACAUGAUGUUGAGGACGAGAUUUGUGUCGUUAGGACUCCUGAGAAAAUGAAGUGCUGGAACUGCGAUGAAUCAGGUCACGGUUACCAGAAUUGCCUUAAGACACGCCGUAUUUUUUGUUAUGGUUGCGGAACACCGGAGGUGUAUAAACCCAACUGCGCAAAAUGUAAAUCGACAUCGGAAAACUCUCAGCAAGGCAUUCGUUAUGCGAACAAAACGAAUGUCCGCCCUUAGCUUCGAAAAUACAAACUGAACCAAAUUCUGUGGCAAAUGAUGUUCAUUCCAUUCUGCCUUCAACUCAACCUGACGUAACAUUAUCCCAAACUUUUAAUCCAUAUCAUUUGCAAGUGCUGGAGAAUGCGAAUCGUAAAUUGCAAUUAUCUAGGGAAAAUUCACUUAAUAAUCGAAAACACCGACCAUCACGGCGAAUUCGUAAGUUUUGGAUUCGUAAACGAUCAUUCAACCGUUUUACGAUUUCAUCAAUUGUUCAAAAUAAGAACGAUAUUCGACCUGUCACACACAUUGACUUAUUUGGUCAAUCGCAUUUAGCUCUCCUAGACAGUGGUGCCAACAAAAGUGUUAUAAGUGGGGAGCUAGCACAACAAUUAAUAUCAUGCCAAGGACAUUUGGUAAUUGCUUUUGACUCCUUUGUCAGUUUUUAUUGUUAGUCACAGGGACUAAAAAUCAAAUCUGUGGUUGUGGGAGUCGAGCCGAAUGGCAACCUUCUAUGUGCUACCGCACUUAUCUGGUGACGAACCAUUUUAGGCAAAUUAAAAUCCUGGCCAAAAUGAAAGUUGCCCUAUAAAAAUACCACAAAAUUCCAGAGUAGGAUUAUAGCAAGCUACGGUCACACAUGAUUUGCAGACUUCCGUUCUCUUUUUGUGAAGGCGUGAUCGAGUGCAGUUCAAUAUUGUGCAAAAUCCAUAUUUAAAAAUCCACGAGCAUCGUGUGGUUCGGAUUAUAGUUUUUCAAGGCAAAUACUGCCGAGUGAUAGUUUACCUUUAACUGCGUCGCUGCCGGUCCCACGUUUGGAGAUAGGAGUUUUAGUGGCUGCGUCGCCAAGGCGAUAGAUUUACAACUGCUGGCAUCAGGAGCACCCACCGUGUGCAGUGGAAGGCUGGGCUUGACCUCUUCUGCUGCCGACAGAUCACAGGUCAACCCACCCCAGAGUUGGCGUUCUUUUUUUCUUCAUCGCCGCACGCAGGAAGCAGAUCGCCGUGCAUCCAUUUAAUGCACAAAUCAGCUUGGUGUCUUCUUCAACCCUGCGUUUUCCAAUAAUAUUUGGGCACAACACGAGCCCCAGGCUGGCCUUGUCGCUGCGUAUGCUGCGAACCCGAAGCAGCCGCAACACGAAUGAUCGUGUCCAGUAUUAAGUAUAUUUAGAAUAGUUUUUUUUAUAUUUGAGUUAAUUUUACAUAAGAAUAUUUACUUAUAAAUUUCUAUAAUUCUAAUUUAGCUUAACUUGUGGGAGAUCUGACAAGUUUAUAUAUGUGAUUCUCCUGAUUUAUAGUAAUAACUACAGCAAAUCAUCAAACGUCAUCAGGCCUGCUGACAUCGAUGGAAAGUGCGUGAGUACAGAACAAAAUAAUAAAACACACAAACAUAUAUAUAUAAAAGUCAGAUAUUCCUAAAUAGUAUUCUUAAAAUAUCCUGCCUUAAUUAAUCAUGAUUUAAAGAAGUUUAUAGUUUAAAUACUCAUUAAUCAUAAAUAAUUCUAAUGUAAAAUAAGUCGAAGGAACAAAAGAAUAAUGUAAGCUUAUAUACCAGUAUUUGAAUUUCUACCUUAAUUAUUUUUAUUUCAUUUUGUCGCUGAUAAUCAAAAUUAAUCAAUAAGAGAUUUUCUUAACAUAAAUAACGUAAAUUUUAGUUUAAGGCUUAGGUUUAGGAAAAUGUAUCUGAAUCUUAUAUUUAUCUUUAAUUAUAUGGGGUCCAAAAUGAAUUAAUUUGACUUCUUGUUGGGCACCAAAGGGUAUGUAGAGCAGUGGUUGUACUAGGGUGGAGUCCGAAUGGAUUCCACAGGUAGGGUGGGUAAUGAAUAAGGCCAAUAACAUCUGGGCCUCGUCUUCAAUAGGUACACCUUCUUGUCCGCUUCCUAACCGUUUGGUUAUCGUUUUUUGAAUCUACCGUAUCUCUGUCUACACUAUUGUAGCUGUAACACUCUUUGUUCAUCACAACACAAAACCCACGCCCAUUUUCCCUGAGCAUGCCGGUAAAAAUCGUAGACAGAGUGUGUUGGGGUGGACAACGCUCUAUGAGUGUGUUCGUUACAAUA